AGCCCACCUCUGCGGAGACAAAGGUUACGGAAAGAGGGGGAGCUGCUCCAGUGAACCUCGGCUGAGAGUGAGAGUGAAUGUCCUUGGCCAGUUCUAGCAUUCCCCUCAUCAUGAAUGCAUGGGCAUGGCCGCCCGGCUUCGGGACCUGCCUGAAAGAGAUGCCCAAGGAUUCGGCACACUGGAGAAGCACAGGACAAGCUUGGAUGUGAAAUAGCAACACAUUCUCCACUGAAGAAUAAUAAAACAAUGCUUUUAAUGAUACAAGAAAAUGGGGCAAGUUGUUGGGCCCUCCCCAGCAAGAACACUUUCCAGUGGUUCUCAACC
Long non-coding RNA from Myotis lucifugus (little brown bat), 324 nucleotides. RefSeq lists it as uncharacterized. The transcript has 3 exons. Lineage: Eukaryota; Metazoa; Chordata; Mammalia; Chiroptera; Vespertilionidae. The record is from RefSeq and is a predicted model, not a curated record.